AGGUGGACCCAAUGUAAUCUCAGGUUCCUUAAAUGUAGAAAAGGAAGGCAGAAGACUCAGUGGUAGAGUAAUGCAGUGUGAGAAAGAGUCAGCUGGAUAUUGCUGUCUGGGAGAUAGAAGAGAGCCACAAACAAAGGAAUGCAGGUGGUCUCUCGAAACUGCACAGGGCAUGAAAAUGGAUCCUCCCCUGGAGCCUCCAGGGAUAGAAAUCAGUGACACCUUGAGACCCAGUUUGGACUUCUGACCUCCAGAACUGCAACGUGAUACAUUUGCAUUGGUGUGAGCCACUAAUUUUGAGGAAGGGUGAGGUCACCAAGAGAGAUGCAAAUACUUAUAGAAGAUAAAAGGUCUAGUUCCAUUGAAGGGAUGUUCCUACAUCAAAAUUGCCGUUUCGUAUAUUUCUGGGUUACAAGCUAUAAAGAAAUCCAGUUCUGGAGCCACAACUCAGAUAGGAUUCAAUUCAUUAUCGAACCCCUGGGCCUCUCAUCCAGGACCCCAGAGACUUUGUCUUCACUCAUGACUGAUCAGGUAACCAUUGAUGAGUCUGACUUCUGAUCCAGUCCUUCAGACAUCCAACCAUGAAAGCAUGGUAAGGAAUUGACUUUAAUCCUAAUAGAGUGUUCUUAUUGCUAAUGAGAUCUCAUUUGGUUGAACUUUUGUUCUUUGGUAUUUAGAGCACUUUUUCUUUGCUGGGAUCUGCGGCCUGUUGGGAUCUUGUUUGACCUUUAGUCUGAUGCCUCUCUCCCCCAUGGGAGAUACUCACUCAUCUGAUUUUCCUCCUUUAAAGAUUCCUGGUGACUAUAUGCUGCAUCACUGUAGUGCUAAGUCUAUUUACUUCCUUCCUCCUUGGCAUGAUUUUCCUAAGUAUAAUUUAGAACUUCAGUGGCCUUUAUGGGAAACAACAUCUCGCAAGCUGUCUCAUCUAAGACCUCCUCCUUCCUCUCACCUCUGUUCCUCCUUUCUCCUUUGCCACUUUGAUCAUCCCUUCAGCUCCCUGAAGUCCUUCAUAUGUCCCUUUUCAAGAUCCUUAUCUCCUUUAUCCCUCAAUCUACCCCUGACAUUUUCCUUCCCACUCUAGCUCCUCAAUUUCCUAUAGUCACUAGACCUUUAG
This is a long non-coding RNA of Equus asinus (donkey), 1111 nucleotides long. Lineage: Eukaryota; Metazoa; Chordata; Mammalia; Perissodactyla; Equidae. The record is from Ensembl.